GUUGAAACCCCGGUUCUCGUACGAUCACUAAAGUUAAGCAACGUCGAGUCUGGUCAGUACCUAGAUGGGUGACUGUUUGGGGAUACCAGGUGCUUCAA
Molecule: non-coding RNA, 98 nt
Organism: Acanthosepion pharaonis
Lineage: Eukaryota; Metazoa; Mollusca; Cephalopoda; Sepiida; Sepiidae
Source: the annotation of a GenBank genome assembly